ACGAACGCUGGCGGCGUGCUUAACACAUGCCAGUCGAACGGAAAGGCCCUGCUUUUGUGGGGUGCCCGAGUGGCGAACGGGUGAGUAACACGUGAGUAACCUGCCCUUGACUUUGGGAUAACUUCAGGAAACCGGGGCUAAUACCGGAUAGGAGCUCCUGCUGCAUGGUGGGGGUUGGAAAGUUUCGGCGGUUGGGGAUGGACUCGCGGCUUAUCAGCUUGUUGGUGGGGUAGUGGCUUACCAAGGCUUUGACGGGUAGCCGGCCUGAGAGGGUGACCGGCCACAUUGGGACUGAGAUACGGCCCAGACUCCUACGGGAGGCAGCAGUGGGGAAUAUUGCACAAUGGGCGGAAGCCUGAUGCAGCAACGCCGCGUGCGGGAUGGCGGCCUUCGGGUUGUAAACCGCUUUCGCCUGUGACGAAGCGUGAGUGACGGUAAUGGGUAAAGAAGCACCGGCUAACUACGUG
RNAcentral lists this ribosomal RNA (467 nucleotides) under uncultured bacterium. RNAcentral's name for it is "partial 16S ribosomal RNA". It matches the Rfam family "Bacterial small subunit ribosomal RNA", at positions 29 to 507 of the family's 1533-position model. The record is from RNAcentral.